GUAGUCAUGUAUGGAUGUGAUAGUUGGACUAUACAGAAAAUUGAGCAUUGAAGAAUUGAUACUUUUGAACUGUGGUGUUGGAGAAAAUUCUUGAGAGUCCCUUGGACUGCAAGGAGAUCCAACCAGUGAAUCCUAAAGGAAAUCAGUCCUGAAUAUUCAUUGGAAGGACUGAUGCUUAAACACUUUGGCCAACUAAUGCAAAGAAUGGACUCCUUGGAAAAGACUUUGAUGCUGGGAAAGAUUGAAGGUAGGUGGAGGGUACAACAGAGGAUGAGGUGGUUGGAUGGCAACGCCGACUAGAUGGACAUGAGUUUGAGCAAGCUCUGGGAGUUGGUGAUGAACAGGGAAGCCUGGCUUCUAUGGGGUCACAAAGACUCAGACACAACUGAGCAACUGAACUGAACUGAACUGAAUGCUUUACUAUGGGAGGGCACAGGAUGAUGUGGGAUAGUACAGAAAGAGAUCACAACCCACACUGGAAAGUGGGGGAUGGAAGAAUGGGCCAGAGAGAGAUGUUCCUUACAGAAAUGCCUUAUAGCAGAAGGUGGGGAGAUGUCAUAAAGGAAAAGAUGAUACGAGAGCAUGGUUGGAUAGAGAACAAAGCAGAGGACUAGAAUGCCAACUGCAGAAACGUUCUGUGCAGAGGCAGGGUGGCGUUUCAGUGCUGGUGGCAGUACAGCCUUCUUUAUAAGGAUGAAUGAAGAUGAAAAGCAAGACAAAUAGAAGCGAAUGAGACACUGCUUUAUGUGAUUCAUGAUAGCUUGCCGUAAGCCUGUUAGCCUCUGCCUGGCUCUCCUCUCUGAGAAAAUAAUGGAUAGUUACAAUGUGUAUAGUGACAUUGUCAAACCAUCAGGAAUUGCUGAUUAUAGUGCUAAAUAUUGAUCUCUGCUUCACAUGUGUCAAAAUUCUUUCUUCCCUUAAUUAGAACUUCCCUAAGCACCAUACAAGAACAAACUGAUUUCUGUGAAAGGGAGUGUGAUACUAGAAUAUAAUUGUGACCUCUUGUCUUCUUUUCUCUUGAGUUCUGAGAUGACUUCGGCUGUCUCUCCUGCCCUUCCCAGCACAUGUGAUCAUCAUGCUCAUUUUUCCCAAUCUAACCAUAGGAAGAUUUCUCCCAGCCUCUGCUUUUCAUCAUUUUGAACCACUAGGGUAGUAGUCAGAUGGCAAUGAGACUUAAAGUGCCAGAAGGUGCCUUUUUCUAUUUGUUUGUUUC
RNAcentral lists this long non-coding RNA (1213 nucleotides) under Ovis aries (sheep). Its description in RNAcentral is "lncRNA (ENSOARG00000025814.1)". Lineage: Eukaryota; Metazoa; Chordata; Mammalia; Artiodactyla; Bovidae. The record is from RNAcentral.